This is a long non-coding RNA of Silurus meridionalis, 570 nucleotides long. RefSeq lists it as uncharacterized. Lineage: Eukaryota; Metazoa; Chordata; Actinopteri; Siluriformes; Siluridae. The transcript has 4 exons. The record is from RefSeq and is a predicted model, not a curated record.
GUGGACAGCGAGAGGUCCAACCUGGAGGACAGAGUGAUGGAGUUGGAGGAACGGCUCAGUGAGACACACAGAGAGUGUGUGAUCAACACCAAGCAGUGUUUUAGGAGUGUGAGCAGGAGUGAGAGACUCACAGUGUCCUGAAGUACCAGUACAAUCAUCUGAGGGAAACUGUAACCUACAGCAAGGAGUCACUACAGGUCUUCUGGAUGAAGCUGAGAAGAAACACGAGCAGGUGCUGGAGUCCAGUGUUCAGCUACAGAAAGAGAUCUACAAACUGGUAUCAGACAUGGACUUACUGUAGCCUCAGCUGAGCUGAAAGAGGAAGAGCUUCUUCAGACUAACAGGAAGUGCAGCAGGUUAAUGGCAGAGUGGAAACAGUACCAGGAUGUUUACUGUACCAUGAAGGUGAAGUACGACGGAAUGAAAGAAUCCGUGAAACAUUUGUAGAUUUUCAUCACAGACUUGUACAGAGCAUGUAGCGCCAUCACUUGGCCUGAAAAGCAGCCUAGUGGUCACGUGGUCGGUUAUGGCGCUCAAUAAGUUCCUGAUGUGGUUUCUGUUUGUAUUUUU